Long non-coding RNA from Papaver somniferum (opium poppy), 1884 nucleotides. RefSeq lists it as uncharacterized. The record is from RefSeq and is a predicted model, not a curated record. NCBI's taxonomy places the organism in Eukaryota, Viridiplantae, Streptophyta, Magnoliopsida, Ranunculales, Papaveraceae. The transcript has 7 exons.
CCAAUGAAUAUCCUAUAUCCAAGAUAUCAGUAAAUCGUGGAAUAUACUUGACUAAUCAAAGAUACGUCCCGUAUAAAUAUGUCAGGAUAAGAUUAAGGUUUUGAAAUUCAAAUUCAAUUUGAUUUGUUACAGUAUGAGAUGGGGUUCUAGGUCUGCUGUAAAGAGCUGGAUAUCACCCUGCUUGUUACAUAACUUGCAGGCUAAAGGGUUGCAGGGAGGGAGCUAUGUAAGAAUACAUACAAGCAGCAAACUGAUUGAUCCUUCACCAGAAACAAUAUUUGACAUUUUGGGGGUUAGACAAAAUUUGGGAAACUCUUGGUUUUGUGUUCAUUUUCUUAUUCAGAAUACUUUCUUUUGUUUCAGAAAGUUGUGGUCGAAAAGGAUAGUCGCACAGAUUCUGUGCUUUUCCUUGAUUGGUCUAUCUAACAAUGUUAUCAGUUGAUCCAAUUCUAUUCCUAAGUUUCCUGUAACUCAUACAUGGUAGAUGAUUAUACGGGUAACAAAGAGUAAUGCAUAAUCAUCUACCAUGUAUGAGUUAUAGAACAAAGAGUAAUGUAUACAGGUCCAUUUUAUCGUCGGCUGAAUUGAAUGUUACAUACUAGGAUGGCAAAAUUCUCAUGUGUAUUAAUGGGUGAAUGGCUUAGAUUUUGAGUGAUUUUUUCUGUGUAUGAAUUCUAACUGUUGGGUCUCUAUGCGAUUCAUGUUUCCAGUCAAUAAUUGUUCUGCCAAUAUUAGAGGUACUGGAUAGUUAUUUCUAUUGUGAUUUUGAUUCUCGAUGAGGAAGCAAUUUAUGGAGACUGAUUACGUUUGUUUGUCAUAUACACCUCUUUCCCUACAGGUCAUAAUGACGUUGUUAUUACCUUGCAUUCAGCCUGAUGGCACAAAAUUGGCUACUGGAUCUGGUGAUACUUUGGUGCAUUAUGGGAUCUCACUACUCGGACCCUAUUGCACACCUGUCUAAUGGUCGGGGGAGCUACAUCUCUGGAAGCUGGGGUUUACACAACUAGAGAAGGUGCGGGGAUAUGCUGAUGGAGUUCUCGGAAAACCAAUGACGGACCUACAGCUGGGCUAAAGGGGACUUUAGCCCGGGUAGGCUUCCCAGUCCACAAGCCAAUUUUUUUCUUUUUUUUGCUCGACCAAGGCUUCUAUCCCGGGUCUUAAAAGGAAAUUUAUCUUUCCUGGAUCCGUCCCUGCGGAAAACCAUCCUUGAUCAGAGAGUCCUCGAGAGGAAAGUACCCCUGGUGUCGCCCAUAAUUUCAUAGCUUUAUAAAUCUUGCAAGGUAGCAUACAAUGAUCAAAUUUAGUCGGUAGAGCUCGUACUGGUCAGUACUGUAAAACGAUGGCUCACCACAACUCCUGGUGCACCCACAACCCACUGGUCCCAACUCCAUUGUGUUUUUCUCAGCUAAUAUAUGUCAUGGCUGGACGAGAUUACAGGAAGUCUUAGUAUGGUUGUUCAAAAUGCACAGAGUUACACCGUGUACUAACUAUGUCAGGUGGUUCGUAGGGAGUUGUAGGAAUUCCUUCUUUUAUCCUACUUCUGGGAAAGUUCUUCAUGUAGACGUUUUCUCACAGCGGCGCUACCUCCACUUUCUCGAGUACUAUAAUCUAACUGGUAAGGCGUUAAUGAGAUCUUUGCUUUCAGUUUCAUAUCUGUCUUAGCAACUUUCGUGCUAGAUCUUUGUAAUAUGUGAAGUGAACUGGUAUAAGUCGGUUGUAUUUAGUAUAAGCUGAAUAAUGAUUGAUAUGGAAAACAUGAAAUGGCUGUAUAAGUGACAAGCUUAUUAGAAAAACUGUAAGUGUUGGGUAAGUUCUCUUGUUUGGUAAGUCGUAAAAAUGCCAAUGUUAAUGUGUAAGUUCUCACUUGUAAUGUGCCACUUUUAA